GAUGAAGAACGUAGCGAAAUGCGAUAAGUAAUGUGAAUUGCAGAAUUCCGUGAAUCAUCGAAUCUUUGUACGCACAUUGCGCCCCCUGGUAUUCCGGGGGGCAUGCCUGUCCGAGCGUCAUUGCAACCUUCAAGCGCGGCUUGUGUGUUGGGUCUCGUCCCCCGUGGACGGGCCCGAAAGGCAGUGGCGGCGUCCCGACAUGGUGCCCGAGCGUAUGGGAAUCCUCUUCCGCUCGAAUCGGCCCAUGCGGCGCUGGUCGUAACCAAAUUUUUUACCGGUUGACCUCGGAUCAGGUAGGGAUACCCGCUGAACUUAAGCAUAUCAAUAAGCGGAGGA
RNAcentral lists this unclassified non-coding RNA (336 nucleotides) under soil metagenome. RNAcentral's name for it is "partial contains 5.8S ribosomal RNA, internal transcribed spacer 2, and large subunit ribosomal RNA". The stretch from base 1 to 120 matches the Rfam family "5.8S ribosomal RNA", at positions 35 to 154 of the family's 154-position model. The record is from RNAcentral.